RNAcentral lists this ribosomal RNA (765 nucleotides) under uncultured bacterium. RNAcentral describes it as "bacterial SSU rRNA". It matches the Rfam family "Bacterial small subunit ribosomal RNA", at positions 27 to 788 of the family's 1533-position model. The record is from RNAcentral.
GAUUGAACGCUGGCGGAAUGCUUUACACAUGCAAGUCGAACGGCAGCACGGGGGCAACCCUGGUGGCGAGUGGCGAACGGGUGAGUAAUAUAUCGGAACGUGCCCGAUCGUGGGGGAUAACGUAGCGAAAGUUACGCUAAUACCGCAUACGAUCUACGGAUGAAAGCGGGGGACCGUAAGGCCUCGCGCGAACGGAGCGGCCGAUAUCAGAUUAGGUAGUUGGUGGGGUAAAAGCCCACCAAGCCAACGAUCUGUAGCUGGUCUGAGAGGACGACCAGCCACACUGGGACUGAGACACGGCCCAGACUCCUACGGGAGGCAGCAGUGGGGAAUUUUGGACAAUGGGCGAAAGCCUGAUCCAGCCAUUCCGCGUGCAGGACGAAGGCCUUCGGGUUGUAAACUGCUUUUGUACGGAACGAAAAGGUUUCAGCUAAUACCUGGGACUCAUGACGGUACCGUAAGAAUAAGCACCGGCUAACUACGUGCCAGCAGCCGCGGUAAUACGUAGGGUGCGAGCGUUAAUCGGAAUUACUGGGCGUAAAGCGUGCGCAGGCGGUCUUGUAAGACAGAUGUGAAAUCCCCGGGCUCAACCUGGAACUGCAUUUGUGACUGCAAGGCUAGAGUGCGGCAGANGGGGAUGGAAUUCCGCGUGUAGCAGUGAAAUGCGUAGAUAUGCGGAGGAACACCGAUGGCGAANGCAAUCCCCUGGGCCUGCACUGACGCUCAUGCACGAAAGCGUGGGGAGCAAACAGGAUUAGAUACCCU